UGAGGAAUAUUGGGCAAUGGGCGAAAGCCUGACCCAGCCACGCCGCGUGAGUGAUGAAGGCCUUCGGGUUGUAAAGCUCUGUGGAGAGGGACGAAAAAGCGUGCGAAUAAUACCAAGCGCCUUGACGGUACCUCUUUAGCAAGCACCGGCUAACUCUGUGCCAGCAGCCGCGGUAAUACAGAGGGUGCAAACGUUGCUCGGAAUUACUGGGCGUAAAGCGUACGUAGGCGGAUUCGCAAGUCGGGCGUGAAAUCCCUGGGCUCAACCCAGGAACUGCGUUCGAAACUGCGUAUCUUGAGUGAUGGAGAGGGAAUCGGAAUUCUCGGUGUAGAGGUGAAAUUCGUAGAUAUCGAGAGGAACACCAGUGGCGAAAGCGGAUUCCUGGACAUUUACUGACGCUGAGGUACGAAAGCGUGGGGAGCAAACAGGAUUAGAUACCCCCGUAGUCC
RNAcentral lists this ribosomal RNA (449 nucleotides) under uncultured prokaryote. Its description in RNAcentral is "bacterial SSU rRNA". It matches the Rfam family "Bacterial small subunit ribosomal RNA", at positions 355 to 796 of the family's 1533-position model. The record is from RNAcentral.